AAUCAACGCUGGCGGCGUGCCUAACACAUGCAAGUCGAACGAGAAAGUGGGAGCAAUCCCAUGUGUACAGUGGCGAACGGGUGAGUAACACGUGACUAACCUACCUUCCAGUGGGGGAUAACCUCGGGAAACCGGGGCUAAGACCGCAUAACCUCGUGAGGUGACAUUCCUUGCGAGCAAAGGGGUAAGACGCUGGAUGAGGGGGUCGCGUCCGAUUAGCUAGUUGGCGGGGUAACGGCCCACCAAGGCGAUGAUCGGUAGCCGGCCUGAGAGGGCGGACGGCCACACUGGAACUGAAACACGGUCCAGACUCCUACGGGAGGCAGCAGUGGGGAAUUUUGCACAAUGGGGGAAACCCUGAUGCAGCAACGCCGCGUGGAGGAUGAAGUCCCUUGGGACGUAAACUCCUUUCGACCGGGACGAUAAUGACGGUACCGGUGGAAGAAGCCCCGGCUAACUCCGUGCCAGCCGCCGCGGUAA
Molecule: ribosomal RNA, 480 nt
Filed under: uncultured bacterium
Lineage: Bacteria
Description: partial 16S ribosomal RNA
Rfam family: Bacterial small subunit ribosomal RNA
Source: RNAcentral